AGGAAUUUAAGUUAUAUUAAACUAUUAACCUUCAAAGUUAAAUUAACCUAAAAAGUAAAUCCUA
RNAcentral lists this transfer RNA (64 nucleotides) under Mesargus serrata. Its description in RNAcentral is "tRNA-Trp". Lineage: Eukaryota; Metazoa; Arthropoda; Insecta; Hemiptera; Cicadellidae. The record is from RNAcentral.